GACGAACGCUGGCGGCGUGCUUAACACAUGCAAGUCGAACGAAGUGGCGAACGGGUGAGUAACGCGUAAUCAACCUGCCCUUCAGAGGGGGACAACAGUUGGAAACGACUGCUAAUACCGCAUACGGAAGGAGGGGAUUGCGUGUGAUUGGCUAGUUGGAGGGGUAACGGCCGACCAAGGCGAUGGUCAGUAGGCGGGUUUGGAGGAUGGACGGCCACAUUGGGACUGGUACACGGCCCAGACUCCUCCGGGAGGCAGCAGUGGGGAAUCUUCCGCAAUGGACGAAAGUCUGACGAAGCAACGCCGCGGGAGUGAUGACGGCCUUCGGGUUGUAAAGCUCUGUUAAUCGGGACGCGGUACCGGAAUAGAAAGCCACGGCUAACUACGUGCCAGUAGCCGCGGUAAUAC
Molecule: ribosomal RNA, 408 nt
Filed under: uncultured bacterium
Lineage: Bacteria
Description: partial 16S ribosomal RNA
Rfam family: Bacterial small subunit ribosomal RNA
Source: RNAcentral